This 362-nucleotide ribosomal RNA is filed under the name uncultured fungus. Its description in RNAcentral is "eukaryotic LSU rRNA". It matches the Rfam family "Eukaryotic large subunit ribosomal RNA", at positions 40 to 398 of the family's 3401-position model. The record is from RNAcentral. Lineage: Eukaryota; Fungi.
AUAUCAAUAAGCGGAGGAAAAGAAACCAACAGGGAUUGCCUCAGUAGCGGCGAGUGAAGCGGCAAGAGCUCAGAUUUGAAAUCCGGUGCGGUUCCCGUGCCCGAGUUGUAAUCUGGAGAGGAUGUUCCGGCGAGGUCGGCCGCCCAAGUUCCUUGGAACAGGACGUCUCAGAGGGUGAGAACCCGUACCCGGCGGUUCGGCCAAGCCAUGUGGAACUCCUUCGACGAGUCGAGUUGUUUGGGAAUGCAGCUCAAACUGGGUGGUAAAUUCCAUCUAAAGCUAAAUACCGGCGGGAGACCGAUAGCGCACAAGUAGAGUGAUCGAAAGAUGAAAAGCACUUUGAAAAGAGAGUUAAAAAGUAC